UCGAGUCGGCCUGCGCGGAAGAUGUAACGGGGCUAAACCAUGCACCGAAGCUGCGGCAGCGACACUUAGGUGUUGUUGGGUAGGGGAGCGUUCUGUAAGCCGUUGAAGGUGACCUGUGAGGGUUGCUGGAGGUAUCAGAAGUGCGAAUGCUGACAUAAGUAACGAUAAUGCGGGUGAAAAACCCGCACGCCGGAAGACCAAGGGUUCCUGUCCAACGUUAAUCGGGGCAGGGUGAGUCGACCCCUAAGGCGAGGCUGAAAAGCGUAGUCGAUGGGAAACAGGUUAAUAUUCCUGUACUUGGUGUUACUGCGAAGGGGGGACGGAGAAGGCUAGGCUGGCCGGGCGACGGUUGUCCCGGUUUAAGCGUGUAGGGGGAGUGACCAGGUAAAUCCGGUUGCUUAUCAACCCUGAGGCGUGAUGACGAUGCACCACGGUGCAGAAGCAGUUGAUGCCAUGCUUCCAGGAAAAGCCUCUAAGCAUCAGGUAACAUUAAAUCGUACCCCAAACCGACACAGGUGGUCAGGUAGAGAAUACUCAGGCGCUUGAGAGAACUCGGGUGAAGGAACUAGGCAAAAUGGUGCCGUAACUUCGGGAGAAGGCACGCUGGCGUUAGGUGAAAGGACUAGCUCCUGGAGCUGAAGCCAGUCGCAGAUACCAGCUGGCUGCAACUGUUUAAUAAAAACACAGCACUGUGCAAACACGAAAGUGGACGUAUACGGUGUGACGCCUGCCCGGUGCUGGAAGGUUAAUUGAUGGGGUCAGCCGCAAGGCGAAGCUCUUGAUCGAAGCCCCAGUAAACGGCGGCCGUAACUAUAACGGUCCUAAGGUAGCGAAAUUCCUUGUCGGGUAAGUUCCGACCUGCACGAAUGGCGUAAUGAUGGCCAGGCUGUCUCCACCCGAGACUCAGUGAAAUUGAACUCGCUGUGAAGAUGCAGUGUACCCGCGGCAAGACGGAAAGACCCCGUGAACCUUUACUAUAGCUUGACACUGAACAUUGAGCCUUGAUGUGUAGGAUAGGUGGGAGGCCUUGAAGUGUGGACGCCAGUCUGCAUGGAGCCAACCUUGAAAUACCACCCUUUAAUGUUUGAUGUUCUAACUCGGCCCCAUGAUCUGGGGUGAGGACAGUGUCUGGUGGGUAGUUUGACUGGGGCGGUCUCCUCCCAAAGAGUAACGGAGGAGCACGAAGGUUAGCUAAUCACGGUCGGACAUCGUGAGGUUAGUGCAAAGGCAUAAGCUAGCUUGACUGCGAGAGUGACGGCUCGAGCAGGUACGAAAGUAGGUCUUAGUGAUCCGGUGGUUCUGAAUGGAAGGGCCAUCGCUCAACGGAUAAAAGGUACUCCGGGGAUAACAGGCUGAUACCGCCCAAGAGUUCAUAUCGACGGCGGUGUUUGGCACCUCGAUGUCGGCUCAUCACAUCCUGGGGCUGAAGUAGGUCCCAAGGGUAUGGCUGUUCGCCAUUUAAAGUGGUACGCGAGCUGGGUUUAGAACGUCGUGAGACAGUUCGGUCCCUAUCUGCCGUGGGCGUUGGAAGAUUGAGAGGGGCUGCUCCUAGUACGAGAGGACCGGAGUGGACGAAUCACUGGUGUUCGGGUUGUCAUGCCAAUGGCAUUGCCCGGUAGCUAAAUUCGGAAGAGAUAACCGCUGAAAGCAUCUAAGCGGGAAACUUGCCUCGAGAUGAGUCUUCCCUGGGACUUAAAGUCCCCUGAAGGAACGUUAAAGACUAUGACGUUGAUAGGCUGGGUGUGUAAGUGCAGCGAUGUAUUGAGCUAACCAGUACUAAUGAUCCGUGAGGCUUAACCUUACAACACCGAAGGUGUUU
RNAcentral lists this ribosomal RNA (1819 nucleotides) under Yersinia pestis. RNAcentral's name for it is "partial 23S ribosomal RNA". It matches the Rfam family "Bacterial large subunit ribosomal RNA", at positions 1149 to 2925 of the family's 2925-position model. The record is from RNAcentral. Lineage: Bacteria; Pseudomonadati; Pseudomonadota; Gammaproteobacteria; Enterobacterales; Yersiniaceae.